Molecule: ribosomal RNA, 504 nt
Filed under: uncultured bacterium
Lineage: Bacteria
Description: bacterial SSU rRNA
Rfam family: Bacterial small subunit ribosomal RNA
Source: RNAcentral
ACAAAGUGACAGGUGGUGCAUGGUUGUCGUCAGCUCGUGUCGUGAGAUGUUGGGUUAAGUCCCGCAACGAGCGCAACCCUUAAGCUUAGUUGCCAUCAUUAAGUUGGGCACCCUAGGUUGACUGCCGGUGACAAACCGGAGGAAGGUGGGGAUGACGUCAAAUCAUCAUGCCCCUUAUGAUUUGGGCUACACACGUGCUACAAUGGACGAUACAAAGGGCAGCUAAACCGCGAGGUCAUGCAAAUCCCAUAAAGUUGUUCUCAGUUCGGAUUGUAGUCUGCAACUCGACUACAUGAAGCUGGAAUCGCUAGUAAUCGUAGAUCAGCAUGCUACGGUGAAUACGUUCCCGGGUCUUGUACACACCGCCCGUCACACCACGAGAGUUUGUAACACCCGAAGCCGGUGGAGUAACCAUUUAUGGAGCUAGCCGUCGAAGGUGGGACAAAUGAUUGGGGUGAAGUCGUAACAAGGUAGCCGUAUCGGAAGGUGCGGUUGGAUCACCUC